GGGGAUUUAGCUUAGUGGUAGAGCGCUUGCCUAGCAAGAGCGAGGCCCUGGGUUCGGUCCCCAGCUCCG
This 69-nucleotide transfer RNA is filed under the name Rattus norvegicus (Norway rat). It matches the Rfam family "tRNA". From Rfam's summary of the family: Transfer RNA (tRNA) molecules are approximately 80 nucleotides in length. Their secondary structure includes four short double-helical elements and three loops (D, anti-codon, and T loops). Further hydrogen bonds mediate the characteristic L-shaped molecular structure. tRNAs have two regions of fundamental functional importance: the anti-codon, which is responsible for specific mRNA codon recognition, and the 3' end, to which the tRNAs corresponding amino acid is attached (by aminoacyl-tRNA synthetases). tRNAs cope with the degeneracy of the genetic code in two manners: having more than one tRNA (with a specific anti-codon) for a particular amino acid; and 'wobble' base-pairing, i.e. permitting non-standard base-pairing at the 3rd anti-codon position. The record is from Rfam by way of RNAcentral. Lineage: Eukaryota; Metazoa; Chordata; Mammalia; Rodentia; Muridae.